GACGAACGCUGGCGGCGUGCCUAAUACAUGCGAGUUGAGCGCUGAAGGUUGGUACUUGUACCAACUGGAUGAGCAGCGAACGGGUGAGUAACGCGUGGGGAAUCUGCCUUUGAGCGGGGGACAACAUUUGGAAACGAAUGCUAAUACCGCAUAAAAACUUUAAACACAAGUUUUAAGUUUGAAAGAUGCAAUUGCAUCACUCAAAGAUGAUCCCGCGUUGUAUUAGCUAGUUGGUGAGGUAAAGGCUCACCAAGGCGAUGAUACAUAGCCGACCUGAGAGGGUGAUCGGCCACAUUGGGACUGAGACACGGCCCAAACUCCUACGGGAGGCAGCAGUAGGGAAUCUUCGGCAAUGGACGAAAGUCUGACCGAGCAACGCCGCGUGAGUGAAGAAGGGUUUCGGAUCGUAAAACUCUGUUGGUAGAGAAGAACGUUGGUGAGAGUGGAAAGCUCAUCAAGUGACGGUAACUACACAGAAAGGGACGGCUAACUACGUG
This 497-nucleotide ribosomal RNA is filed under the name uncultured bacterium. RNAcentral's name for it is "partial 16S ribosomal RNA". It matches the Rfam family "Bacterial small subunit ribosomal RNA", at positions 28 to 507 of the family's 1533-position model. The record is from RNAcentral.